Molecule: non-coding RNA, 46 nt
Organism: Manacus vitellinus (golden-collared manakin)
Lineage: Eukaryota; Metazoa; Chordata; Aves; Passeriformes; Pipridae
Source: Rfam
CAUUUGGCUGUUUUCACAGCCAUUAAUUCAAAUACAAGCAAGAAGG